AUGCGAUAAUUUGAGAACGGCACGACUGUAUGUGCAGAAAAAGCUGUCAACUACGCGGUUUUGAAUAUUUGUAAACAUGGCUCGUGAAAAUGCCAUAAUAGACAAUUUUUUAGAAGAUUUGGCUUAUUUAAGUGAUGAAGAGAACACUAAAUCAAGUGAUGAAGAAGAUAAAAGAGCUAGCAAAAAGAAUCGGAUGAGUAAAUUGCUACCGUUUUAUCAAACACGCAAUGAUAUCUUUGGCUACUUUUCUGAAGACAGAAUUAUGAAGACAUUCAGAUUGGACAAGGAUAGUAUCCAGUUUAUACUGGGUAAUUGGACUAAUGCAAAGAAUUCAUAGUAUGUGUUUAACUUGAGAAACAAUUUCCUUCAUUGAGAUUCAAUUUCACCAUCUGUCCAAUAUUCUCUUUUCUUUCGACUACUUGGAAUCACAUUUAUCUCUUUUCCAGCCGACUUUUUGGGACCCAUUUUAUAAAAUACGCAUGUAAUGUACUUUAACAGGGCUGUGUAAACAAUAACAAUUGUAGUUAGCGUGUUGUCAAUCGCUUUCGUCUGCUAUGCAUGCCCAUAGGCUUGAUUGUUUGAGAUUCUUACCAUUAGAUUUCUCGUAAGUUAAGUUCUCAAAGUCAAGGAAAGUCUAGAUCCUUACUUUGAAAGUAGACGUGGUUUUUAAGAUCAAUCUGACUCAGAAUCAAACUUUACUUUUUCGUUGAAAGUAAGGAAUUGAAAAUUCUACUUUGACUUUGAAAGUUGACUGUCGAAAGUAAAGGAUGGAAAAAUACACUAAGUAAAGUAAGAAAGUCAGAAUUCGACCCGGUAGUGUUAAUAGUCGUGCAGACCACCGGAACCCAAACUCAUCAAAAGAGCCUUUGGCCAAGUUACCUUCCGUUAAAAAAGUGGGCCCUGUUCCUAGGAGUAUGUUAACAGGUGACAGGACUUGUGACGUGACUGAAAAAACAUCCAAGGUGACAGUUGAAAGUGCCACAAUACAUGCAACUGCGAAUGUUGAAAUCACUGAAAAGACAGCUAAAGUCAUAGUUCAGAAUACAAUUAUCAGUGCAAUUACAAGUGUUGCAAGUCGUGCAGUCAACAGGAGCCCUAACACAUCACAAGAGCCUCCGCCUUCCGUUCGAAGUCCAAAAUCGGGCCCUCUUCCUAGAUGUAUGUUAACAGGUAACGGGACUUGUGACAUAACUGAAAAAACAUCCAAGUGCCGCUGGAAGUGUUACGAGUCUUUCAGACCACUGGAGCCCUAAUACAUCACAAGAGCCUCCGCCCAAGUUACCUUCUGUUUGGGAAAAACAGCCUUCGCUGUCACUGCCCAUUCAAACUAAAAGUAAGUCUCCGUUUAAGAUAACGGUGAUUAAACAGGGAAACGUUGAAGGUGCCAAACAACAGCUUUUUGGGCCGUCGUGUAGACGGCUGUGUCAAUGCCGGUGUAGAUCAGUCGCUGGUAAAUGGUUUAUCCAAGGAAACUUCUAAAUCACUGGUUUCUGUGUUAUGUUUGUGUUUAUUUCACACUGUCUAAGCUCCAAUUUUUAAACGAAGCUACAAAGAAUUUAAAAAUACAAAUCUAUUGUCACUGAA
This 1584-nucleotide unclassified non-coding RNA is filed under the name Daphnia magna. Its description in RNAcentral is "uncharacterized LOC116919419, transcript variant X1". Lineage: Eukaryota; Metazoa; Arthropoda; Branchiopoda; Diplostraca; Daphniidae. The record is from RNAcentral.